AUUCUUAGUUCCAUUGCCAAACCUCAGGGCCCUGAAGUGCAGGGGAGAGGCUGAAUUCCAAAGACAGACUUGCUUCUGUACUCUGAGUGAUACUUCCAGAGCUGUUGAUCUGUUGAUGGAUGCCUCACUGAGAAAGAUCAUACCAUUGUGGCCUUCCCUGCUAACUUUUCAUUUUGAACUGAGAGCUUGUGGCCAUGAAGUGGACUCAGAAGGCUAAAACUGGAUCUUUCUAUUUGGAAACAACAGCUGGAUGUAGGGAUGUAAAAGCUCACGCCAGGCCUCCCAGGUAGGUGUAAACAUAGCUGUGGCUGGGAUGACUGUGGCUGGCAAUCUUCAUCCCACUCUACCCUGCAAGUGAAAUCGCUUGGGAGGUGACCUAGCUGCUGCUUUCCAAGGCCAUGGGUAUCUGGAGACAAAGCUUUCUCCACCUAGCCUGGGCAAAUGAGAACAACACUAAGACUACGAUGAGGAUGCCCAUCUGGCACCUACAAGGUGGUGGCAGACACCACCCAUCUUUGCCUGGCUAUGUGGGAAGGAAAUAAUUAUUCGUUAGUUCUGCUGUUACUGUCCUGGCUCCCUCACAGUAAACAAAGGGCUCACUACUGAGAAUAGAAAAGGCCAAAGUCCCAGGGCCUGGGGAACAUGUUCUUUGUUGAACCUCUUUAUUAAUCUAAAGCUGUUGGACCAACAGGUUGUGGUGUUAGGCGGAAGCUGGGCAGGCACUAAUCACUAAGGCAGAAGAACGGGUUUGGCAGGGUAGUUUUGAGUAGCAGCUUAUUGAAGAGGUGUUAUUACUCACUUUUUUAUUUUUUAUUUUUUUGAGACAAGUUCUCAAUCUGUCACCCAGGCUGGAAUGCAGUGGUACGAUCUCAGCUCACUGCAACCUCUGCCUCCCGGGCUCAAGUGAUCCUCCCACCCCAGCCUCCCGAGUAGCUGGGACUACAGAUGCAUGCCACCAUAUCUUUUGCAUUUUUUUGAAGAGACUGGGUUUCACGGUAUUGCCCAGGCUAGUCUUGAACUUCUGGGCCCAAUCUAUCUGCCCACCUCAGCCUCUCAAAGUGUUGGGAUGACAGGCAUGAGCCACCCCGCCGGCCCUAUGACUCACUCUUGAAAUGUCUUUUCUUAGAUAGAUAUGAUCUUUGGUCAGGGAGUAUUCUAUUAGCGCAGGAAGCUUUCAGUCUGAUUCUAGGGGUGGCAAGCUGGAAACAGGAUCAUGAGUGGCCUCUAUAUGGCUUCAUACUCCAGCAGAACCUGAGGUUGUGGUUGGGAAUGAGACACAUACAAACACACAAACACACCCACACACAUACGCCAUUCUGCUGCCCUAUGGCAUGUUAUCUUUUAGUGGCUUGGCUUUUACUGGGAGAGAAGGGAAACUAACAUUUAUUAAGCACCUAGUUUGUGUCAGCACUAGGCAAUGUGCUUUCAUUAUGUUAUCUGAUGGGAUUUGAUUUUGAAGCUUUUUUUACUGAUAAGGAAACUGAGACUGAAGGAGAUGAUAUAAUCUGAACAAGAUUGCAUAGUUAAUAUGUGGGAAAAAGAGAAUUUGAGCCCAAAUAGAGUCCAGCGCUUACCCACUUUCCAUUGAAUACACUGCCUGUACACCUGAGACCGCCACAGUCCAGACCCGAGUGCAACCUGCCCCAAGUAACUCCUUUGCUGCAAUGGCUGAAGCUCAUUUUUUUCACAUAGAGACUUCAAAUCACCAACAUGUAGCCCCCAGCUGGAACGCCUUCCACAUAAAAGGGAUAGCUCCCCUAAAAGUUUAUUCAACGCAAAAGAAUCCUCUCCAAUUUUACUGAGGUAGCUGACUAUGUCCACAACCAAAUCCGCCUCUAAACUGGAAUUCAGUUGCUGACCCAGCCCCAGACUCGGCUUUCUUGUCGGCACCAGGUGGCACAGCACUCUGUCUAUGUUUUUCAGACUGAACCUAUCCAGAAUUGUGAUUCAUGACUCACCAGAUCCUGUGGCCCCCCUAUCCAGGGGUGCACUCAGCACAUGAGGACGCCUGUGAUUCUGCCCCUAUGAGUUCAUCCCCAACCAGUCAGCAAUACCCAUUCCUUAACCCCCUGCCUGGCAAACUGUCUGGGAGACUGAUUUGAGUGAUAACUCCAAUUCUCUUGUGUGGGCCAGCCACAUAUCAAUAAAACUCUUUCUCUACUGCAAUGCCAUGGUCUCAGUGGAUUGAUUUUGUCUGUACACUGGGGCAGGAAGAACCCAUCAGGG
Molecule: long non-coding RNA, 2226 nt
Filed under: Homo sapiens (human)
Lineage: Eukaryota; Metazoa; Chordata; Mammalia; Primates; Hominidae
Description: HSALNT0105400
Source: RNAcentral